UGGGGAAUAUUGCACAAUGGAGGGAACUCUGAUGCAGCGACGCCGCGUGAACGAAGAAGGCUUUCGAGUCGUAAAGUUCUUUUAUAUGGGAAGAUAAUGACGGUACCAUAAGAAAAAGCCCCGGCUAACUACGUGCCAGCAGCCGCGGUAAUACGUAGGGGGCUAGCGUUGUCCGGAAUCACUGGGCGUAAAGGGUUCGCAGGCGGAAUAACAAGUCAGAUGUGAAAGGCAUGGGCUCAACCCAUGUAAGCAUUUGAAACUGUAAUUCUUGAGAAGUGGAGAGGUAAGGGGAAUUCCUAGUGUAGCGGUGAAAUGCGUAGAUAUUAGGAGGAAUACCUGUGGCGAAGGCGACUUACUGGACACAAAUCUGACGCUGAGGAACGAAAGCGUGGGUAGCAAACAGG
This 404-nucleotide ribosomal RNA is filed under the name Verrucomicrobiota bacterium. RNAcentral describes it as "Verrucomicrobia bacterium partial 16S ribosomal RNA". It matches the Rfam family "Bacterial small subunit ribosomal RNA", at positions 355 to 776 of the family's 1533-position model. Lineage: Bacteria; Pseudomonadati; Verrucomicrobiota. The record is from RNAcentral.